AUUGCUUUGCUUUACUAUUGCUUGAAGAACGUUUGUUUUCCCCAUCCUUUCCUUGUUAACCAACAACCUAAGCCCCAUUACAACCCUUAACUUCUACCUUGAGUGUUAUGUGUUUCAAUUUGUGGAGUUUGAAUUUGGUAUGAGCAUAUGGUGUCACUGGUUCUCGCAUCUAAGUAGUAGCAUUCCAUUCAUGAGAUCAUAUCUAAACAUGCUUCUUAACUCUAGAAAUUGCGUUCUUUGUGAAACAUAUAUGUGAGCAUUCGUUUUUCAUAUCUACGUCAAUCUUCUCACAUAUGACUAGUGAUAGGGUGUGGAGUUAGAAAAUCUGAGUGAAAAUAGAGUGUAUAUCUUGUAAGGAAUUGAGGGAAUUCUCUAAGGCAUGUUACUACAUUCAAAGCAUUGUUUUAAUUGUUACUUGUGAACUAGUAAGUGGUGGCUUUAAUUAAGUAUGUGCUUGCGUAAAGAUGACUCAAAUCUGUGGGGAUAGCAAUCUUUAACAUGUCAUGUGCAUUGGAAAUCCCUGAGGCAAACGUGGAAGGUUUAGGUUUGUUUUGGUUAGUUUGUUUCGUUUCGUUUUCUUUCUUUUGUUUGUUUU
Molecule: long non-coding RNA, 595 nt
Filed under: Malus domestica (apple)
Lineage: Eukaryota; Viridiplantae; Streptophyta; Magnoliopsida; Rosales; Rosaceae
Description: long non-coding RNA (MDOM_LNC020642)
Source: RNAcentral